RNA transcript from Pongo pygmaeus (Bornean orangutan), 4082 nucleotides. The record is from RefSeq and is a predicted model, not a curated record. Lineage: Eukaryota; Metazoa; Chordata; Mammalia; Primates; Hominidae.
GUGAUCCACUGUGCCCGGCCUAAUUUUCUAAUUUUUAAAAACUCUAUCAAGUAACAACAAUGCUUUGAAUUUUGCCCAUACUGUCAGUAUGGUAUGGGGAAAAUAAAAUAGGAAUAGAAAAGGAAAACCAGGAAAAGAGGUGGUUUUCAACCAAAUGAGGAUUGGACAAAAAGAAAAAAAGAGACAAAGAAAGAAGUGUCACAAAUUUGGCAUUACUUUGUAUUUAAAAUCUUAUGAAGAGUAAGGAGAAUGUUGAUGGAUAUGAAUGAAAUAGAAUCAAUUUAAAGAAUAUUCAUUAGACCCUACAGUAUGCCUGAAAAUGUAGUGUGCACAGUGUAUAAAAUAAGAAAUUGCUUCCGUAAAGUGGCCUAUGUCUGGUUAUAAAAAUCAGAUGAAUGCAAAACCAGCUAGCAAUGCUAGCUUUAUGUAGCUUCACUCUGAGCCAGACAUCAUGUAUUAGAAAACAAGGAUAAGUAAUAACAGCUCACGUUUAAAAGGGCUUACUAUGUGCCAGGUCCUAUGCUGACCACUUUUCACAGAUUAUCUCAAUUAAUCUUCACAUUAAUCUUUUGAGUAGAUACUGUUGUCCCCAUUUUUUCCAAUGGGUAUAUUGAGACUUAAAAAGUUAAAAUAACUUGCCCAUUGUCAAAUAACUGACCAUGGAAUUUGAACCAAAGUCAUUUAAUUCAAAAUGAAGAAAUUUAAUCACGUAAACUACUGCUUCCCAUAAUUCUCAGCCUUUAGGAACUCAGUCUAUGAAGGAAUGAUGGGUGCUUAAUGACCAUUUGUUGUAUGAACGAAUGACUUCCUUUGUGGCCGCUCAUGUUUAUUGCUUAGCUUUUUUUUUUUUUUUGAGACGGAGUUUCGCUCUUGUUGUCCAGACUGGAGUGCAGUUGCAUGAUCCAGGCUCACUGCAACCGCUGUCUCUCGGGUUCAAGCAGUUCUCCUGCCUCUGCCUCCCAAGUAGCCGGGACUACAGGCGCACGCCACCACGCCCAGCUAAUUUUUGUAUUUUUAGUAGAGACGAGGUUUCACCCAUGUUGGCCAGGCUAGUCUCGAACUCCUGACCUCAGGUGAUCCGCCUGCCUCAGCCUCCCAAAGUGCUGGGAUUACAGUCGUUACCACUGCGCCUGACCUAGACUGUUCAGGUUUAAGUUCCUAGGAUACAAAUAUACAACAGACUAGGGCCGAUACUUUGUUUGCUGUUUUCAACACAGAAGUGGAAAGCAUGAUUUUCCACUUCUGGAAUAAUUUAGAGUGACAUCUGGUGGUUGCCUGUGAGACAAGAAUUGUUGAAGAAACUGAAUUUAAAAGCCUGUAAUAAAUAAGACUACCAGACAUAAAAAGAUAAGAACGGUGAAUUAAAGUAGUAAAAAGUUUAAAAAACAUAUCUUAAAUCCUCACUAAAGAAAAAUUUUACAAAAUGCUAGUUGCAGAUUUUCAAUCCACUGGACUUUAAAAAGAAAUAAUAGAUUCCUUAAUGAGUAGUUGUAACGAAAAUUGUAACAGUUAAUUGAUGGCAGGAAAUACGAAUUGAUUUAUACUGGUUUGAAGAUUCUGGCUUGAGAGGAAAUGCAACUUUACGGGGGAAGACGACUCAAAGGUUACAGGAACAACUUAUUCACAAGGCAAAAUAUCUUCAACAUCUCUCCAAAACUUCAAGGGCAGAAUGGGUAUCUGCUGAGAUGGUAAGAUGUCCAGUUGGCAGGAAAUAUUUCACCGAAUCUCACUUGCCGGGGAAAAAAGCCAGUGAACGCGACCCGCGCAGCCGGCUAGAUCGUGCGCUCGGCCUCAGAUUGGUCGAGGCUGUUUGGGCUGCGGGAAAAGCGGAAGCGCGCUUUUCAAAGUCUUUCCACCAUCGAUGAAGGCAGGCCACUUCCGGUGUAGCCAUGGCGGCUAACGCUACUACCAACCCGUCGCAGCUGCUGCCGUUAGAGCUUGUGGACAAAUGUAUAGGAUCAAGAAUUCACAUCGUGAUGAAGAGUGAUAAGGAAAUUGUUGGUACUCUUCUAGGAUUUGAUGACUUUGUCAAUAUCCUUUUAAAAGGUGGUGGUGUGAAAUCACACCAGAAGGAAGAAGGAUUACUAAAUUAGAUCAGAUUUUACUAAAUGGAAAUAAUAUAACAAUGCUGGUUCCUGGAGGAGAAGGACCUGAAGUGUGAAUGAGUUUCCUUGACUUACACUAGAUUUUGUUUUGUCUUAUAAUGACAAGAAAAUGGAAUUUUUUUUCCUACUUUCUAAUGUUUAAAUCCCAUAAAGCUAAGUUUCCCGUUAAAGGGAAGUGCUUUGAAGAUGUGUACCCAUUUUUGUAAGUUAAUCAUGAUUGUCCUGGAAAAAGAAGAAAAGAGCUUCUUCUUUGUAGAUGAAAAUAAAGGUGUUUUUGGUUAACUGUCAUUUUAUUUAUUGUACUGCAGUAGCCAGUGGAACAAAGAUUGUAGUUAUUUUGCCACUUACUUUUCUGUCAUUAUAUGCUUAUUUGUUUUCUCAUUUACAUGACCAUUUGAUUGUCAAACAAAAGUUGUUCCAAACAAAAUGAUGAACUUUGAUUUGAACAGGUGCAUUUAAACAACCGGAAAUGAUCACUUAGAAAAUUCAAUUAAAAUGCUGUUGUUUUGUAAUGAGGAUUUUUCUACUGAUUUCAAAUUCCAUGAACUCCUAUUGAAAACGAACAAUGUACAGGUAAUAUAUGCACAUUGUAGAAAUGCAGGAAUUAUCUAUUGGAAUUACCCUAAAGAUAGAAAUUUUAUCUAUUUGCUUUCCAAAUUGGUUCAGAAGGUUAUUACCUUAAUGUAGUUAUUACUGAAUUGCCAGGAAAUGAGUGGAGACAGAGCUUUAAGAUAAAGGAUACUAAAAACAGCUAAGAACUCUAGGACUCAGGUCAAAUCAAGGAACUGAUAAUAAGAUCAUUGAACUGUAUAAAUUAAGUCAAAGAACUCCUAUUAAAAACAAACGGGUAAUAUAUGCACAUUGUAGAAUUGUAGGUAAGCAAAAAGGAGAAGGUUGAUCAUGCUUUGCUGUAUGUCUUCGUAGACUUUCUCAGUCCACUCUCACUACACAUUUUAUUUUACUUGCUCAUCCUGAUUAUACUGUUUUUACCCUCCACUUAAGUCAUUUUUUGAAUUUAAAUGGUGAAUAUCUUUCUGUGUCAAAUAUUUCAACAUUAAUAUGUACAUAGUAUUAAAUGGAUUUACUAUAAAUUAUUUAGCCUAUUCUUACUGGCCACAGUAGUCUAACUAGAUCUUUAUACAUUUGUAUUUUUCUAGAAUAAACUAAAAAAUGUGUAAGAUCAAAGGGUAUAUAUUGUGUUGCCAAGAAAAAGUUUGUGCCAAUGUAUAUUUUUGCCAGGAGUCUUUCAUAGUACCAUUUAUAUCCUUCCCAGCAUUAGCUAUGUUCUACCUUCUUUCCUCUUUGCCAUUUUUACAAGCAAAACCCAGCAUGUCUAAAAUUUUCCUUUUUUUUUUUGUUUUUUUGUUUUUUGGAGAGUCUCACUGGAGUGCAGUGGCAUGAUCUUGGUUCCCUGCAACCUCCAGUCAGGCUGGCGUGCCAUGUCGCAAUAUCAACACGACCUCCGCCUCCCAGGUUCAAGUGAUUCUCCUGCCUCACCCUCCCGAGUAGCUGGGAUUACAGGUGGGCGCCACCACUCCCAUCUAAUUUUUAUAUUUUUAGAGAGAUGGGGUUUUACCUUGUUGGCCAGGCUGGUCUUGAGCUCCUGACCUCUAGUGAUCCACCUGCCUCAGCCUCCCAAAGUGCUGGUAUUAAAGGCAUGAGCCACCAGGCCUGGCCUAAAAUUUUCUUGAUUAAUUUUGAUCUCAUUUGUAUUUUGUAAAUGACUUAUCUGAUGAGGCUUUUGCCAUUGAGAUGUUUGUCUUUUUCUUACUAAUUUGUAAGAAUUCUUGAUGGGUUUCUCUUAGUCAUGUAUUUUGCUAGUAAUUUCCCUAGUUUGUAGUUUGACACUUAGUGCUAUUUUUGACAUAAAUGAUGUAUUUUAAUGUAGUUGCAUGUUGACCUAGUCCAUUAUGGUUUUUGUAUUUGGUCCACGUGGAUUGGAAAGACCUUUGCUUUGAUUAUACUUUUCUUUGGGCA